RNAcentral lists this ribosomal RNA (1804 nucleotides) under Salmonella enterica. RNAcentral describes it as "partial 23S ribosomal RNA". It matches the Rfam family "Bacterial large subunit ribosomal RNA", at positions 353 to 2141 of the family's 2925-position model. The record is from RNAcentral. Lineage: Bacteria; Pseudomonadati; Pseudomonadota; Gammaproteobacteria; Enterobacterales; Enterobacteriaceae.
CGCGAUACAGGGUGACAGCCCCGUACACAAAAGCGCAUGUGCUGUGAGCUCGAUGAGUAGGGCGGGACACGUGGUAUCCUGUCUGAAUAUGGGGGGACCAUCCUCCAAGGCUAAAUACUCCUGACUGACCGAUAGUGAACCAGUACCGUGAGGGAAAGGCGAAAAGAACCCCGGCGAGGGGAGUGAAAAAGAACCUGAAACCGUGUACGUACAAGCAGUGGGAGCACAGGUUUACCUGUGUGACUGCGUACCUUUUGUAUAAUGGGUCAGCGACUUAUAUUCUGUAGCAAGGUUAACCGUAUAGGGGAGCCGAAGGGAAACCGAGUCUUAACCGGGCGUUAAGUUGCAGGGUAUAGACCCGAAACCCGGUGAUCUAGCCAUGGGCAGGUUGAAGGUUGGGUAACACUAACUGGAGGACCGAACCGACUAAUGUUGAAAAAUUAGCGGAUGACCUGUGGCUGGGGGUGAAAGGCCAAUCAAACCGGGAGAUAGCUGGUUCUCCCCGAAAGCUAUUUAGGUAGCGCCUCGUGAAUUCAUCUCCGGGGGUAGAGCACUGUUUCGGCUAGGGGGCCAUCCCGGCUUACCAACCCGAUGCAAACUGCGAAUACCGGAGAAUGUUAUCACGGGAGACACACGGCGGGUGCUAACGUCCGUCGUGAAGAGGGAAACAACCCAGACCGCCAGCUAAGGUCCCAAAGUCAUGGUUAAGUGGGAAACGAUGUGGGAAGGCCCAGACAGCCAGGAUGUUGGCUUAGAAGCAGCCAUCAUUUAAAGAAAGCGUAAUAGCUCACUGGUCGAGUCGGCCUGCGCGGAAGAUGUAACGGGGCUAAACCAUGCACCGAAGCUGCGGCAGCGACGCUGAUGCGUUGUUGGGUAGGGGAGCGUUCUGUAAGCCUGCGAAGGUGGCCUGUGAGGGUUGCUGGAGGUAUCAGAAGUGCGAAUGCUGACAUAAGUAACGAUAAAGCGGGUGAAAAGCCCGCUCGCCGGAAGACCAAGGGUUCCUGUCCAACGUUAAUCGGGGCAGGGUGAGUCGACCCCUAAGGCGAGGCCGAAAGGCGUAGUCGAUGGGAAACGGGUUAAUAUUCCCGUACUUGGUGUUACUGCGAAGGGGGGACGGAGAAGGCUAUGUUGGCCGGGCGACGGUUGUCCCGGUUUAAGCGUGUAGGUGUGUGUUCCAGGUAAAUCCGGUUCACUUUAACACUGAGGCGUGACGACGAGGCACUACGGUGCUGAAGCAACAAAUGCCCUGCUUCCAGGAAAAGCCUCUAAGCAUCAGGUAACAUCAAAUCGUACCCCAAACCGACACAGGUGGUCAGGUAGAGAAUACCAAGGCGCUUGAGAGAACUCGGGUGAAGGAACUAGGCAAAAUGGUGCCGUAACUUCGGGAGAAGGCACGCUGACACGUAGGUGAAGUGAUUUACUCAUGGAGCUGAAGUCAGUCGAAGAUACCAGCUGGCUGCAACUGUUUAUUAAAAACACAGCACUGUGCAAACACGAAAGUGGACGUAUACGGUGUGACGCCUGCCCGGUGCCGGAAGGUUAAUUGAUGGGGUCAGCGCAAGCGAAGCUCCUGAUCGAAGCCCCGGUAAACGGCGGCCGUAACUAUAACGGUCCUAAGGUAGCGAAAUUCCUUGUCGGGUAAGUUCCGACCUGCACGAAUGGCGUAAUGAUGGCCAGGCUGUCUCCACCCGAGACUCAGUGAAAUUGAACUCGCUGUGAAGAUGCAGUGUACCCGCGGCAAGACGGAAAGACCCCGUGAACCUUUACUAUAGCUUGACACUGAACAUUGAGCCUUGAUGUGUAG